Molecule: non-coding RNA, 77 nt
Organism: Potamilus streckersoni
Lineage: Eukaryota; Metazoa; Mollusca; Bivalvia; Unionida; Unionidae
Source: the annotation of a GenBank genome assembly
GACCGCUCCGGUGGAAUAGUGGUUAGAACGUCCACCUCGGAUGCGGGAGGUUGUGGGUUCAAUCCCCGGCCGAGUCA